RNAcentral lists this ribosomal RNA (468 nucleotides) under uncultured bacterium. Its description in RNAcentral is "partial 16S ribosomal RNA". It matches the Rfam family "Bacterial small subunit ribosomal RNA", at positions 28 to 507 of the family's 1533-position model. The record is from RNAcentral.
GACGAACGCUGGCGGCGUGCCUAAUACAUGCAAGUCGAGCGGAAAGACCAUGCGUUUGCUCGGUGCACGAUAGCCGCACGGGGGUGUAACACAUGAGUAACCUGCCCCUGUCAUUGGGAUAUAUUCACGAGACUGCGGCGAUUACACCGUAGGAGCUCUUGAUGCAUGGGGUGGGUUGGUAAGAUACGGCGGUUGGGGAUGGACUCGCGGCUUAUCAGCUUGUUGGUGGGGUAGUGGCUUACCAAGGCUUUGACGGGUAGCCGGCCUGGGAGGGUGACCGGCCACAUUGGGACUGAGAUACGGCCCAGACUCCUACGGGAGGCAGCAGUGGGAAAUAUUGCACAAUGGGCGGAAGCCUGAUGCAGCAACGCCGCGUGCGGGAUGACGGCCUUCGGGUUGUAAACCGCUUUCGCCUGUGACGAAGCGUGAGUGACGGUAAUGGGUAAAGAAGCACCGGCUAACUACGUG